RNAcentral lists this ribosomal RNA (253 nucleotides) under uncultured bacterium. RNAcentral describes it as "partial 16S ribosomal RNA". It matches the Rfam family "Bacterial small subunit ribosomal RNA", at positions 524 to 776 of the family's 1533-position model. The record is from RNAcentral.
UACGAGGGGGGCAAGCGUUGUUCGGAAUUAUUGGGCGUAAAGAGCUCGUAGGCGGUUUGUCGCGUCGGCCGUGAAAUCUCCACGCUUAACGUGGAGCGUGCGGUCGAUACGGGCAGACUUGAGUUCGGUAGGGGAGACUGGAAUUCCUGGUGUAGCGGUGAAAUGCGCAGAUAUCAGGAGGAACACCGGUGGCGAAGGCGGGUCUCUGGGCCGAUACUGACGCUGAGGAGCGAAAGCGUGGGGAGCGAACAGG